This 250-nucleotide ribosomal RNA is filed under the name uncultured bacterium. Its description in RNAcentral is "partial 16S ribosomal RNA". It matches the Rfam family "Bacterial small subunit ribosomal RNA", at positions 524 to 773 of the family's 1533-position model. The record is from RNAcentral.
UACGUAGGGGGCGAGCGUUGUCCGGAUUUACUGGGCGUAAAGAGCGCGUAGGCGGCUUGGAGAGUCGGCUGUGAAAUCUCUGGGCUCAACCCAGAGGGGUCGGCCGAGACCUUCGGGCUCGAGGGUGGUAGAGGAAGGUGGAAUUCCGGGUGUAGUGGUGAAAUGCGUAGAGAUCCGGAGGAACACCAGUGGCGAAGGCGGCCUUCUGGGCCACACCUGACGCUGAGGCGCGAAAGCGUGGGGAGCGAAC